UACGUAGGGGGCGAGCGUUAUCCGGAAUUAUUGGGCGUAAAGGGCGCGUAGGCGGCUGUACAAGUCAGAGGUGAAAUCCCUCGGCUCAACUGAGGAACUGCCUUUGAAACUGUACGGCUUGAGGCCGGGAGGGGGUAGCGGAAUUCCCAGUGUAGCGGUGAAAUUCGUAGAUAUUGGGAAGAACACCGGUGGCGAAGGCGGCGACCUGGUCCUUGACUGACGCUGAGGCGCGAAAGCGUGGGGAGCAAACAGG
RNAcentral lists this ribosomal RNA (253 nucleotides) under uncultured bacterium. RNAcentral's name for it is "partial 16S ribosomal RNA". It matches the Rfam family "Bacterial small subunit ribosomal RNA", at positions 524 to 776 of the family's 1533-position model. The record is from RNAcentral.